Molecule: ribosomal RNA, 1449 nt
Filed under: uncultured organism
Description: 16S ribosomal RNA
Rfam family: Bacterial small subunit ribosomal RNA
Source: RNAcentral
CAGGCUUAACACAUGCAAGUCGAGGGGCAGCAUGGUCUUAGCUUGCUAAGGCCGAUGGCGACCGGCGCACGGGUGAGUAACACGUAUCCAACCUGCCGUCUACUCUUGGACAGCCUUCUGAAAGGAAGAUUAAUACAAGAUGGCAUCAUGAGUCCGCAUGUUCACAUGAUUAAAGGUAUUCCGGUAGACGAUGGGGAUGCGUUCCAUUAGAUAGUAGGCGGGGUAACGGCCCACCUAGUCUUCGAUGGAUAGGGGUUCUGAGAGGAAGGUCCCCCACAUUGGAACUGAGACACGGUCCAAACUCCUACGGGAGGCAGCAGUGAGGAAUAUUGGUCAAUGGGCGAGAGCCUGAACCAGCCAAGUAGCGUGAAGGAUGACUGCCCUAUGGGUUGUAAACUUCUUUUAUAAAGGAAUAAAGUCGGGUAUGGAUACCCGUUUGCGUGUACUUUAUGAAUAAGGAUCGGCUAACUCCGUGCCAGCAGCCGCGGUAAUACGGAGGAUCCGAGCGUUAUCCGGAUUUAUUGGGUUUAAAGGGAGCGUAGAUGGAUGUUUAAGUCAGUUGUGAAAGUUUGCGGCUCAACCGUAAAAUUGCAGUUGAUACUGGAUAUCUUGAGUGCAGUUGAGGCAGGCGGAAUUCGUGGUGUAGCGGUGAAAUGCUUAGAUAUCACGAAGAACUCCGAUUGCGAAGGCAGCCUGCUAAGCUGCAACUGACAUUGAGGCUCGAAAGUGUGGGUAUCAAACAGGAUUAGAUACCCUGGUAGUCCACACGGUAAACGAUGAAUACUCGCUGUUUGCGAUAUACUGCAAGCGGCCAAGCGAAAGCGUUAAGUAUUCCACCUGGGGAGUACGCCGGCAACGGUGAAACUCAAAGGAAUUGACGGGGGCCCGCACAAGCGGAGGAACAUGUGGUUUAAUUCGAUGAUACGCGAGGAACCUUACCCGGGCUUAAAUUGCAGAUGAAUUACGGUGAAAGCCGUAAGCCGCAAGGCAUCUGUGAAGGUGCUGCAUGGUUGUCGUCAGCUCGUGCCGUGAGGUGUCGGCUUAAGUGCCAUAACGAGCGCAACCCUUGUUGUCAGUUACUAACAGGUUCCGCUGAGGACUCUGACAAGACUGCCAUCGUAAGAUGUGAGGAAGGUGGGGAUGACGUCAAAUCAGCACGGCCCUUACGUCCGGGACUACACACGUGUUACAAUGGGGGGUACAGAGGGCCGCUACCACGCGAGUGGAUGCCAAUCCCCAAAACCUCUCUCAGUUCGGACUGGAGUCUGCAACCCGACUCCACGAAGCUGGAUUCGCUAGUAAUCGCGCAUCAGCCACGGCGCGGUGAAUACGUUCCCGGGCCUUGUACACACCGCCCGUCAAGCCAUGGGAGCCGGGGGUACCUGAAGUGCGUAACCGCGAGGAGCGCCCUAGGGUAAAACUGGUGACUGGGGCUAAGUCAUAACAAGG